This is a non-coding RNA of Equus caballus (horse), 887 nucleotides long. The record is from RefSeq and is a predicted model, not a curated record. NCBI's taxonomy places the organism in Eukaryota, Metazoa, Chordata, Mammalia, Perissodactyla, Equidae.
AAUCACUUUCCUUUCCCUACCAGCUCCUCCUCCUCCUAAGCGAAGCCGGAAGCGCCGGACGUUGUUUCUCUUCUUACUUCUCCACUGCCGUAGCCGUUGCCCCGAACGUAACGGCCACCACCCUACCCCGCACUCACACUCACUCACUCUCGCUCGCUCGCUCCCAGACACACAGACAUACACGCCCUCACUGAGACUGCGCAGGCGCAGCUUCCGCUCUGCCCUCUGGGAAUUAGAGUCUUCUAGCCGCUCUCCUGGCCAUCGAGUGCUAAGAUCUUGGGUCCAUAAAGAACUACAAAUAUCGUGAGGCCAAGCGGUUCAGCGCCCACGGCAAGGAGGAAGAGGAAGGCAAUAGGAACGGGGGCGGAAAGGAACACAGUCACUCACGUUGCCUGCCGGGAGUUGUAGUUUUAACUGGAUUUCUUUCGUCGUCUUCCCGACUCUGGGGCCCAAGGGAAGGAGUAUGAGAGACCACAUUUCCUAGGAUGCCUUGCGGCCCGUCCAGUCUAACUUCCCCCUUAGGCGGAGGGAAGACUACGGGGAAGCUUGGUAAAAACAGUUAAAUGGAAGGGGUGUCGGAAGCGGAGGGUCUGAAGUUCACGACUCCUAGAAGGGGCGGUGAAUGAAAGGCUCUCGGUGAAGAAGGUCCAGAACCCUUCAGAUCAACUUACAAGAAGUUCAAUAUGUAAAACAGAUAAAUGUGCUUGUAAUGAGAAAGGAUGAGAGUUAUUCCAACCUGCCAGCACGUCAUACCCCCAUUCCCACCCUCACCUCAGGGAAGGCUCCAGGGAGUACUUUGAAAACCAUUGGAAAAAGUCAUCCCCUCUUAAAUGACAAAAUGCCAUGUCUGUAGUAUGCUGCAUUAAAAUUUCUACCUAUUCCAAUUA